ACCCGCUGAAUUUAAGCAUAUCAAUAAGCGGAGGAAAAGAAACUAACAAGGAUUCCCCUAGUAACGGCGAGUGAAGAGGGAAAAGCCCAGCACCGAAGCCUGCGGCAGUUUUGCUGUUAGGCAAUGUGGUGUUUGGGCCGGCUCGCGGGACUGCCGCUCCAUUCGAAGUCCAGCUUUGAGUAUGGUUUCUGGAUUUGGCCCUUAGAGGGUGAAAGGCCCGUCCGAAUGGAGGAUAAGAAAAGUAGGCAGUUCACUAUGCCGGCCUUCGAGUCGGGUUGUUUGAGAAUGCAGCCCAAAGAGGGUGGUAAACUCCAUCCAAGGCUAAAUACUAGCACGAGUCCGAUAGCGAACAAGUACCGUGAGGGAAAGUUGAAAAGUACUUUGAAGAGAGAGUAAACAGUACGUGAAACCGCAUAUAGGUAAACGGGUGGCGUCAAGCUGCAAGCCUAGAGGAUUCAGUCGGUCAGGAUUUUGAGUAUGCGCCUGGCGCAUCUACAGUCAGAGUGUGAUAUUGUGGUCCACUGGUUAAUAGUGGGUCCGGCCGCAAGGUUGGAAUUUGCGUUCCGUAUAUGUGCGGAGCUUGCCACUUGUCUAGGGACUGUCUGACCGAUGCACUUUCUCUAUGGUGAACACCACGACCAGUGGUACUGCCAGUCUGCUGCAGCCAAGUCUCGUUCAGUCGGCAUUUAUGUUGGCUGGGCUGUGAUCAUAGGCAAACUCAGUGAACGGUGUUCGGGUGUUUACGCAUUCGUUCAUGCUAUCGGACACUGGUUGUCAACGGGUCUGUCUGUCGACAAUUGUAGUAGUUGGCAGAUGGCCUGGUGGGCUACGGUGGUAAGAAUAACUGUGCAGGGCACUGGGGAUUGCGGUCUCAAAUUUGGUUCGCGCGCACACUACAAGUGUAUGUGGGGUGUCGUUGCAGUCUGCCUGUGGUCGGGCUUGAUCGUCGUGUUGCCUGCGCAAAGUAGGUCCGGCGGUAGCCUGAUCUUGGAUGGUAUUGUUGACGGCAUUCUCUGCGUGGACUGAUGAGGAUCUUACAGUCAGUGGUGUAGUGGUAGACCAGCCACCCGACCCGUCUUGAAACACGGACCAAGGAGUUUAACAUGUGCGCAAGUCAAUGGGCGUAACGAAACCCAAAGGCGAAAUUAAAGUGAAGCCUUGGCUCGUCCAGGGUGUGGUGAGAUCCUGCUGUUUCUCGCAUCAGCACUUGUGCUUUGUCAGCACCAGGCUAAGAGCAGUGGGCGCAUCACCGGCCCGUCCCAUGAUGUCACUGUUGGUUAGGCUGCAGUUUCGGCUGCAGUCGCCAGCUUGUCUUCGGGGCGGAGCAUGAGCGCACAUGUUGAGACCCGAAAGAUGGUGAACUAUGCUUGCGUAGGUUGAAGCCAGAGGAAACUCUGGUGGAGGACCGCAGCGAUUCUGACGUGCAAAUCGAUCGUCAAACGUGAGUAUAGGGGCGAAAGACUAAUCGAACCAUCUAGUAGCUGGUUCCCUCCGAAGUUUCCCUCAGGAUAGC
RNAcentral lists this ribosomal RNA (1513 nucleotides) under Eubothrium rugosum. RNAcentral's name for it is "partial 28S ribosomal RNA". It matches the Rfam family "Eukaryotic large subunit ribosomal RNA", at positions 23 to 982 of the family's 3401-position model. Lineage: Eukaryota; Metazoa; Platyhelminthes; Cestoda; Bothriocephalidea; Triaenophoridae. The record is from RNAcentral.